RNAcentral lists this long non-coding RNA (2040 nucleotides) under Lotus japonicus. RNAcentral describes it as "long non-coding RNA (LJAP_LNC000581)". Lineage: Eukaryota; Viridiplantae; Streptophyta; Magnoliopsida; Fabales; Fabaceae. The record is from RNAcentral.
UUUAUGGGUAAUUUUUUCUGUAAUUUCGGUACCUUAUGUCUAUAAUUCAGCAGAGAUCAAUCAUGAUUUGGAUAGUCAAUGUAGAGAUUAGUUAUCCUUCUAUAUUUGGCAUUGAAAUUUUAACCUUGGGAAGGAAUUUAAGCUCAAGUUACAUGACGCAACCAGACAAUACCUGCACAGGGGUACAAAAUCAAAUUACCAAAAAGUAAAUAAAUACUUGUAUAGCAUUUGUUAAAUUUAAAUGGCUAUAAUAUAUGGCGUUACCGAAAAUGGAAAAACAAUGUAGGAAGGUAAAAUAUAAGAAAAGCUACUUUGAUAUCUUCACUACACUUUCAUCCAUUUUUACCCAUUUCUUUAUCUCUUGUUUUUUUCUUUCUAUCAUAAAUGAUGAGAUUUCAUUAAUACACACACGACUUCAGCACUUGUUUGGUUUGUCUAUUUUCAUAUUCAAAGAGAACAGAAAAUAUAGCUUAAAUAUCUUUGGUUCAUAUUUAGAAAAUGUUUUCUUAGAAAAUAUUUUAUAAAAUAUGACUAAAACAAAAAAGAAAAGGAAGGAUCUAUUAACUCCAGGAGACAAUUAAAAAACUUACUCCAAGUCUCGACCCUCAAUCUUAUUAAAAACAAACGGCUGAGAUUAAAAUUUUAAAACAAUCAUGUGUAUUACAAACUCGACUAUUUAUUUAUUAAUCAAUUUUUACUAGAGUAACCACAUUUUAAAUGAGUCAAUAUUUCUUGGCAUAUUUCCGUGUUCAUGACGGGGUUGUAAAUUUGAUGCUCUUGUAAAUCUCUUUCAAUGAAAUAAUUUUCAUAAUUCUUUUUUGAUUCUUUGGAUAUCUUACAUUUUCAUAAGAAAGUGAAGGUAAACUUCCCACUACUUCCAAAUUCCAUCACAUUUUUUUCCCAUUUUGAAUUAAAUAAAAUUUAAAUAUAUUUUCAGAAAUGCUAAAUAUUCACCAAACACAUUUAUAAGUCUUAUGCGAAAAAUGACAUUUCCAGCCAUCACAUUUUCAGAAAUAUUAUUCCUUCACCCUUGUAACAAACGCUCAAUGUUGCAAUUUCAAUGAAAAAUGGAAAUAAGCAUAGUGUAAUUUAAAUCUUUUUUUUAAAGGAAAACGUAAUUUUUUUGUAUAUCGGAAAUAUAAAUUGCACCCUCUAGGAAUUGAUCAAUGGACCUCCCCACCCCAACCCAUAUGUCCCAUAACACUCUUACCAAUUGAGCUAAUCCAUAGAGGAUAGUGUAAUUUAAAUCUUAAUUGAAGUUGAUUAGUUACCAAACACCAUAAUUCAGAAUGUACAGAUGUUUUAAGUUAAUCACCCAAAACAAUGAAGAUAUUGUUGAAACUCAAAACAAUGAGGAUUAAUUUAUUAUUCUACUCAACCUCCAUAGCAGCAGAAUUUUCUUUGUCUAAGAAGCUCUUAAGUUCUUUAACUCUUUGCCUGGUCAAUGGAACACAGUCCUGAAACCACAAUAACAAUGGUUGUUAACUUCCCAUCUGUAUAAUUCGAUCCAACAUAAAGGUACCAUCGCUAUCAUUCAAUUUAGUAAAUGAUUCAUUACGAUACUAUAUAUUUGGUUUACUUUCAUUUCUUAUUUGUCCAAGAAAAAUAAAAUACUUUAUAAAAAAUUAAUAAAUCUGUUGGAUAUUCGAGAGUCACAAAUUUGUUAAUUUUAAGAGAUAUUUUCAAUCAUUCAAUUUUUUAGAUCUUGAAUUUUGAUGAACUUUUUUUCAUUUAAGCAUUUCAAGAAGAAUGUGAAUCUUCAAUUUUAAAUUACAAAACUCAUACCCUGAUACCCUAUUUUCAAUGUUUCGUAGUCUACGAUAGGUUCUGAUACCAAGAGGACUAACUCUAUCCCAAAAACACCCAAUUUCUAAUGCUAAAUCAAAAUUUGAUGAAGUUUCUAUGAGCAAAAGUGCUCAUUAUUUCAUUAGCAUGCUAAUCCAAAAUGAGGCAAAUAAUGUUAAUGCUAUAACUGUAAUACCAUAUGCAAACUAACCUGGAGAGCAGAAGUAUAGGCAAGAACUGGCCCGCCAGGCUUGU